RNAcentral lists this long non-coding RNA (1054 nucleotides) under Olea europaea subsp. europaea. The record is from RNAcentral. Lineage: Eukaryota; Viridiplantae; Streptophyta; Magnoliopsida; Lamiales; Oleaceae.
GGAAACUGGAAACGGGGCAGAAGUUGGGAGAAUUCGAGAAAAAGAGGGAGAAAGAGAGAAAAAGGAAGAAAAAAAAAAGAAGGAAAUGGAAGAGGCUGAUGAUUUUUGUAAGUUUGGGUUCUUCAUUUCUUCAGCUUAUCACUUUUUUUAGAGAGGUGAGUUAAUUAAAUUUCUAGGGUUUAUGGAACAUUCAUUUAUAUUCGAAGUUUAGCAAGAAUUAGAGAUUAUUAUUAUGUUUUUGAGGUAUUAAACAAGAAUAUAUCAAAGGAAUGUAUAUUUGAAAAUUUGUGAUGAAGAAAAUGGAAUUUUGAAGGGGUUUGUGAGAUAAGUGUUUACUCUUUGAUUUUCUUGUGAUUAUAUAAUACUGAACACUUAAAUUAGGGAUUUGAGAUUGGAAUUUCCCAUUUUUUAAAGGUAAUUUUCGAGUUACUGUAGUAUAGGUGUUGUUUCUGAUAGUGUGCACAGAAUGGUGCCACUUCUGUCAAUAGUUUUGGUGUCAAAUUUCAAUAUCGAGAAAUUGGUGUCACAUUUCAAUAUUCUGGAAUUUUAGUGCUGUCUUUGUCAAACCUUUGAUUUUCUCAUUUUAAAGGCUUGAAUGAAGUUUUAUGACAAGUAUUGAGGUUUAUGUAUUGGAAUAAAUUAUGCAUAGGGGUUGUAUAUGUAUAAGUUAUUGAUUUUAAGGAAGUGAGUAAUUUAAUGGAUUUAAUAAUGCAUGGUGUUUAGUUGAUAAAUCAUUAAAGAGAAGAAAGUUGGAGAAUUGGAAAUGUAAGAGUAAGUAUAGAAGUUGAGAAGUUAAGUGGUGGAUUUAUAUUAAUUUAAUUGUUAGAUUUUAAGUCGAGAAAUUAUACCGUUAUUUUAGGUGGGAAUGUGGAAGCUUGGAAAUCUUCGUCAAUUUAAGCAAAUUUCUAUCCAUAGAUCUGUGAGUGGAAAAAUAUAAAUAUUUUUAAAAUAUUUAUAAAUUAAGUUUAUUGUUAAAGUAUGUGCAAUUAUAUGCAAUUAUGUGUUCGAAUUAAAUGAUUUUUAUGGAAAUAUCUUUUAUUAUGAUAUAUGUGGG